UCGAGCGACGAAAGGGUCUUCGGGCCCCUGAAAGCGGCGAACGGGUGAGUAACACGUGGGUAACCCACCCUCGGUACCGGGAUAGCCCGGGGAAACCCGGAUUAAUACCGGAUGGCCUCUCCGGUCUACGGAUUGGCGAGAAAAGGUAGCUUCGGCCUCCGACCGAGGACGGGCCCGCGGCCGAUUAGUUUGUUGGCGGGGUAACGGCCCACCAAGGCGACGAUCGGUAGCUGGUCUGAGAGGACGAUCAGCCACACUGGGACUGAGACACGGCCCAGACUCCUACGGGAGGCAGCAGUGGGGAAUCUUGCGCAAUGGGCGGAAGCCUGACGCAGCGACGCCGCGUGCGGGAAGAAGGCCUUCGGGUUGUAAACCGCUUUCAGAAGGGACGAAGCCACUCGGGUGAAUAGCCCAGAGGGUGACGGUACCUUCAGAAGAAGCCCCGGCUAACUACGUGCCAGCAGCCGCGGUAAUACGUAGGGGGCCAGCGUUG
Molecule: ribosomal RNA, 493 nt
Filed under: uncultured bacterium
Lineage: Bacteria
Description: bacterial SSU rRNA
Rfam family: Bacterial small subunit ribosomal RNA
Source: RNAcentral